RNAcentral lists this ribosomal RNA (521 nucleotides) under Leptopoma sericatum. Its description in RNAcentral is "partial 16S ribosomal RNA". It matches the Rfam family "Bacterial large subunit ribosomal RNA", at positions 1807 to 2607 of the family's 2925-position model. The record is from RNAcentral. Lineage: Eukaryota; Metazoa; Mollusca; Gastropoda; Architaenioglossa; Cyclophoridae.
CUAAAAACAUGGCUCUUUGUGUAUGUAAAAUAAAGAGUCUGACCUGCCCGGUGAUAAUUUUAACGGCCGCAGUAUACUAACUGUGCAAAGGUAGCAUAAUAAUUUGUCUUUUAAUUGGAGACUAGUAUCAAAGGUUUGACGAGAAUAUAGCUGUCUCUUUUAUUUUAAUUAUAAUUUAUUUUUAAAGUUAAAAAACUUUAAUUAAAUUGUAGGACGAGAAGACCCUAUCGAGCUUUAAAUAGUGAAUAAAGUAUUUAUUAUUAUUUAAAUAUGUAUUUGCUUUGAUUGUUUUUUGUUGGGGCGACUGCGGGGCAAAUAAAACCCCCGUUAUAGCUAAAAGUUAAAAUUAAUCCGAUAUUAUCGAAUAAUAACUAAGUUACCGUAGGGAUAACAGCGUUAUUUUUUUGAAGAGAUCUUAUCGAUAAGAAAGAUUGCGACCUCGAUGUUGGAUUAGAUAUACUUUAGGGCGUAGAGGCUUUAAUGUGUUAGUCUGUUCGACUAUUAAAUUUCUACGUGAUCUA